This 253-nucleotide ribosomal RNA is filed under the name uncultured bacterium. RNAcentral describes it as "partial 16S ribosomal RNA". It matches the Rfam family "Bacterial small subunit ribosomal RNA", at positions 524 to 776 of the family's 1533-position model. The record is from RNAcentral.
UACGAAGGGGGCUAGCGUUGUUCGGAUUUACUGGGCGUAAAGCGCACGUAGGCGGAUUGUUAAGUCGGGGGUGAAAUCCUGGAGCUCAACUUCAGAAUUGCCUUCGAUACUGGCUUUCUAGAGGCUGGAAGAGGUUAGUGGAAUUCCCAGUGUAGAGGUGAAAUUCGUAGAUAUUGGGAAGAACACCAGUGGCGAUGGCGGCUAACUGGUCCAGAUCUGACGCUGAGGUGCGAAAGCGUGGGGAGCAAACAGG